Aethina tumida (small hive beetle) is the source of this 664-nucleotide long non-coding RNA. RefSeq lists it as uncharacterized. NCBI's taxonomy places the organism in Eukaryota, Metazoa, Arthropoda, Insecta, Coleoptera, Nitidulidae. The record is from RefSeq and is a predicted model, not a curated record. The transcript is spliced from 2 exons.
UCAGUGGUUUAAAUAAAGCAUAAAACUACAACUUGUAUAUUAGUGUGGAGCAUAAAAUUGGAAGACAUCCUGUAAAAUUAAAAAAAUGAAACAACCAACUGUGCCUCGUCCACUUUGAUUCCAGCAACUUCGCGUUGCGCCACGUCCGUCCACGUUCUAAUCAAACUGUUACAUUUUUUUGUUAAUCUAGGGAAACAGUGCAAUUCGUAGGGAGAACCAGCUAUGUGUACCACCCCAAAACGUGAAGAAGGAGAGCCGUUAUUCGUCAGAAUGAGCCGUUGGUGCGAAUGGUUUUACAUGUGGUGCUGCUACCUGCCAAUUAUACUUUCGUUUUCUCUUAUGAUGUUAUUUGUUUUCUAUUUUUUGAUUGAUGGACCAGUACGUUCUGUUAUGUAUAGUUUAUUUCCAAAAUGUAACACCUACGUAGCAUCAGUGAUGACAUGCAUCGCUGGUGCCGCAGCAGCUACACAAUUGGUGUUACUUUUUACUUGAAUUUUAUAACCUGUUAGCCUGUAAUUGUAAUGUAAUAAUUUUAUAUGUAUGACAUUCAUUUUUGUAAUUUUAACGGUUUGUAAUAUCUGUUUAAUGUAUUUUAAUGCUAAUGUUUGUAAAAUGUAAAAUUAUUGAAUAAAUAAAGGAUACAAUUAUAGGUUUAUAUAAUUGA